CCCGGAGAUUUACUUUCCACAGAAAGCACCUUACAACAAGGAUCACUGCUAAGCAGAAAGGGCAAACAACAGUGUCCUCAGGGCUGGAGCAAUGCAGCAGUCAGAGCUGACUGAUACCAAAACAAACAAAAUCCAGGCUGUCUUGAACACAUCAGACCCAGAGAUCCCCGAGAGACUCUUGUCACAUUACAGCUCCUUCCCUUUCUUGAAGCUAAGACUACUGCUUCUAUUCGGGCUUGAAAAACCUGCUCACCUACUCACCAGCGUUCCAGGUCUCCGAGGGAAGUACCCUACAAGCAAAGAGCAGUGAGUUAGCUCUGCCGCUGGUGAAGGAGCAGCACAGAGUGGGAGAGAGACUGGAAUCCUUUCCUAGCGGCCGACUGAAACUGGACACAUGCCUUUAUGUGACCACGCACCAAAACACACCUUGGCUCUGCUCGACUUCACCAGCGCUGCAGCCAGCACAGAACGCUUCAUGUUUCCCCACGCAGCGCAGGGCAACUGCAGCCGCAUCGCACCUUGCGCCUCACGCCCAGCCUCCAGCCCACACAGCGCUGCACCCCGUACUGCACCUUCGCAUGACAAAAUGCACCUUGAAGGCUGCCUGCCCAGCACCCUCCAUCGCUAUCUCCCAGGAACGUCAGUGCUACCACUGCAAAUGCCACCCUAGUAUGCUGGCAGGAGAAACGCGUGCACUUUCCUCCUUUAGUCUGAAAGCAAUCCCUCUGAAAUCUGAAUUUUCAGUCAAGGCCGUUUUUGCUCCCCAUGCUUGCACUUCUCCGAGCUUCUUGUCCUUGGCUGCAGCAUGUCUUACUGCUUCAGUGUGGAAUGACCCUUGAAAUCAAGUGAAAUGCUUUCAGCAGGCAACAUUUCCCUCUCUGCAUAUCUUUG
RNAcentral lists this long non-coding RNA (891 nucleotides) under Struthio camelus australis. RNAcentral describes it as "lncRNA (ENSSCUG00000016622.1)". The record is from RNAcentral. Lineage: Eukaryota; Metazoa; Chordata; Aves; Struthioniformes; Struthionidae.